GAUGAACGCUAGCGGGAGGCCUAACACAUGCAAGCCGAGCGGUAUUUCUUCUUCGGAAGAGAGAGAGCGGCGCACGGGUGCGUAACACGUGUGCAACCUACCUUUAUCUGGGGGAUAGCCUUUCGAAAGGAAGAAUAACACCCCAUAAUAUAUUGAAUGGAAUCAUUUGAUAUUGAAAACUCCGGUGGAUAAAGAUAGGCACGCGCAAGAUUAGAUAGUUGGUGAGGUAACGGCUCACCAAGUCAAUGAUCUUUAGGGGUCCUGAGAGGGAGAUCCCCCACACUGGUACUGAGACACGGACCAGACUCCUACGGGAGGCAGCAGUGAGGAAUAUUGGACAAUGGGUGAAAGCCUGAUCCAGCCAUCCCGCGUGAAGGAUGACGGUCCUAUGGAUUGUAAACUUCUUUUGUACAGGAAUAAACCUACUCUCGUGAGAGUAGCUGAAGGUACUGUACGAAUAAGCACCGGCUAACUCCGUGCCAGCCGCCGCCGUAA
Molecule: ribosomal RNA, 495 nt
Filed under: uncultured bacterium
Lineage: Bacteria
Description: partial 16S ribosomal RNA
Rfam family: Bacterial small subunit ribosomal RNA
Source: RNAcentral